UUGCAUCGAUGAAGAACGCAGCGAAAUGCGAUACGUAAUGUGAAUUGCAGAAUUCAGCGAAUCAUCGAGUCUUUGAACGCACAUUGCGCCCCCUGGUAUUCCGGGGGGCAUGCCUGUUCGAGCGUCAUUUCACCACUCAAGCCUCGCUUGGUAUUGGGCAACGCGGUCCGCCGCGUGCCUCAAAUCGACCGGCUCCGGGUCUUCUGUCCCCUAAGCGUUGUGGAGACUAUUCGCUAAAGGGUGCUCGGGAGGCUACGCCGUAAAACAAACCCAUUUCUAAGGUUGACCUCGGAUCAGGUAGGGAUACCCGCUGA
This 314-nucleotide ribosomal RNA is filed under the name uncultured Cladosporium. RNAcentral describes it as "eukaryotic LSU rRNA". The stretch from base 1 to 127 matches the Rfam family "5.8S ribosomal RNA", at positions 28 to 154 of the family's 154-position model. The record is from RNAcentral. Lineage: Eukaryota; Fungi; Ascomycota; Dothideomycetes; Cladosporiales; Cladosporiaceae.